Molecule: ribosomal RNA, 450 nt
Filed under: uncultured Alphaproteobacteria bacterium
Lineage: Bacteria; Pseudomonadati; Pseudomonadota; Alphaproteobacteria
Description: bacterial SSU rRNA
Rfam family: Bacterial small subunit ribosomal RNA
Source: RNAcentral
UAAUUCGACGCAACGCGCAGAACCUUACCAGCCCUUGACAUCCCGGUCGCGGUUUCCAGAGAUGGAUUCCUUCAGUUCGGCUGGACCGGAGACAGGUGCUGCAUGGCUGUCGUCAGCUCGUGUCGUGAGAUGUUGGGUUAAGUCCCGCAACGAGCGCAACCCCCGUCCUUAGUUGCUACCAUUUAGUUGAGCACUCUAAGGAGACUGCCGGUGAUAAGCCGCGAGGAAGGUGGGGAUGACGUCAAGUCCUCAUGGCCCUUACGGGCUGGGCUACACACGUGCUACAAUGGCGGUGACAAUGGGACGCUAAGGGGCAACCCUUCGCAAAUCUCAAAAAGCCGUCUCAGUUCGGAUUGGGCUCUGCAACUCGAGCCCAUGAAGUUGGAAUCGCUAGUAAUCGUGGAUCAGCAUGCCACGGUGAAUACGUUCCCGGGCCUUGUACACACCGCC